AUUGAACGCUGGCGGCAUGCCUAACACAUGCAAGUCGAACGGGGGCAGCAAUGCCCUAGUGGCGGACGGGUGAGGAAUACGUAGGAAUUGGCCCACGAGUGGGGGACAACCUGGGGAAACCCAGGCUAAUACCGCAUACGCUCGCGAGAGGAAAGCGGGGGGACCUUCGGGCCUCGCGCUGGUGGACAAGCCUACGUCCGAUUAGCUUGUUGGUGGGGUAAAAGCCUACCAAGGCGACGAUCGGUAGCUGGUCUGAGAGGAUGAUCAGCCACACUGGGACUGAGACACGGCCCAGACUCCUACGGGAGGCAGCAGUGGGGGAAUAUUGCGCAAUGGGCGAAAGCCUGACGCAGCGACGCCGCGUGAGGGACGACGGCCUUCGGGUUGUAAACCUCUUUCAGCAGGGACGAAGGGAAACUGACUGUACCUGCAAGAAAGCAACCGGCUAACUCUGUGCCAGCAGCCGCGGUAAU
This 473-nucleotide ribosomal RNA is filed under the name uncultured bacterium. Its description in RNAcentral is "bacterial SSU rRNA". It matches the Rfam family "Bacterial small subunit ribosomal RNA", at positions 29 to 524 of the family's 1533-position model. The record is from RNAcentral.